This 1363-nucleotide ribosomal RNA is filed under the name Bacillus cereus. Its description in RNAcentral is "partial 23S ribosomal RNA". It matches the Rfam family "Bacterial large subunit ribosomal RNA", at positions 1552 to 2925 of the family's 2925-position model. The record is from RNAcentral. RNAcentral also lists the same sequence under 47 other names. Lineage: Bacteria; Bacillati; Bacillota; Bacilli; Caryophanales; Bacillaceae.
AAGGCUGAGCUGUGAUGGGGAAGCUCCUUAUGGAGCGAAGUCUUUGAUUCCCCGCUGCCAAGAAAAGCUUCUAGCGAGAUAAAAGGUGCCUGUACCGCAAACCGACACAGGUAGGCGAGGAGAGAAUCCUAAGGUGUGCGAGAGAACUCUGGUUAAGGAACUCGGCAAAAUGACCCCGUAACUUCGGGAGAAGGGGUGCUUUCUUAACGGAAAGCCGCAGUGAAUAGGCCCAAGCGACUGUUUAGCAAAAACACAGCUCUCUGCGAAGCCGUAAGGCGAAGUAUAGGGGGUGACACCUGCCCGGUGCUGGAAGGUUAAGGAGAGGGGUUAGCGUAAGCGAAGCUCUGAACUGAAGCCCCAGUAAACGGCGGCCGUAACUAUAACGGUCCUAAGGUAGCGAAAUUCCUUGUCGGGUAAGUUCCGACCCGCACGAAAGGUGUAACGAUUUGGGCACUGUCUCAACCAGAGACUCGGUGAAAUUAUAGUACCUGUGAAGAUGCAGGUUACCCGCGACAGGACGGAAAGACCCCGUGGAGCUUUACUGUAGCCUGAUAUUGAAUUUUGGUACAGUUUGUACAGGAUAGGCGGGAGCCAUUGAAACCGGAGCGCUAGCUUCGGUGGAGGCGCUGGUGGGAUACCGCCCUGACUGUAUUGAAAUUCUAACCUACGGGUCUUAUCGACCCGGGAGACAGUGUCAGGUGGGCAGUUUGACUGGGGCGGUCGCCUCCUAAAGUGUAACGGAGGCGCCCAAAGGUUCCCUCAGAAUGGUUGGAAAUCAUUCGUAGAGUGCAAAGGCAUAAGGGAGCUUGACUGCGAGACCUACAAGUCGAGCAGGGACGAAAGUCGGGCUUAGUGAUCCGGUGGUUCCGCAUGGAAGGGCCAUCGCUCAACGGAUAAAAGCUACCCCGGGGAUAACAGGCUUAUCUCCCCCAAGAGUCCACAUCGACGGGGAGGUUUGGCACCUCGAUGUCGGCUCAUCGCAUCCUGGGGCUGUAGUCGGUCCCAAGGGUUGGGCUGUUCGCCCAUUAAAGCGGUACGCGAGCUGGGUUCAGAACGUCGUGAGACAGUUCGGUCCCUAUCCGUCGUGGGCGUAGGAAAUUUGAGAGGAGCUGUCCUUAGUACGAGAGGACCGGGAUGGACGCACCGCUGGUGUACCAGUUGUUCUGCCAAGGGCAUAGCUGGGUAGCUAUGUGCGGAAGGGAUAAGUGCUGAAAGCAUCUAAGCAUGAAGCCCCCCUCAAGAUGAGAUUUCCCAUAGCGUAAGCUAGUAAGAUCCCUGAAAGAUGAUCAGGUUGAUAGGUUCGAGGUGGAAGCAUGGUGACAUGUGGAGCUGACGAAUACUAAUAGAUCGAGGACUUAACCAU